Molecule: transfer RNA, 73 nt
Filed under: Candidatus Iainarchaeum sp.
Lineage: Archaea; Nanobdellati; Candidatus Iainarchaeota; Candidatus Iainarchaeia; Candidatus Iainarchaeales; Candidatus Iainarchaeaceae
Description: tRNA-Arg
Rfam family: tRNA
About the family: Transfer RNA (tRNA) molecules are approximately 80 nucleotides in length. Their secondary structure includes four short double-helical elements and three loops (D, anti-codon, and T loops). Further hydrogen bonds mediate the characteristic L-shaped molecular structure. tRNAs have two regions of fundamental functional importance: the anti-codon, which is responsible for specific mRNA codon recognition, and the 3' end, to which the tRNAs corresponding amino acid is attached (by aminoacyl-tRNA synthetases). tRNAs cope with the degeneracy of the genetic code in two manners: having more than one tRNA (with a specific anti-codon) for a particular amino acid; and 'wobble' base-pairing, i.e. permitting non-standard base-pairing at the 3rd anti-codon position.
Source: RNAcentral
GGGCCUGUGGCGCAAUGGAUAGCGCAUUCGGCUUCGGACCGAACGGUUGGGGGUUCGAGUCCCUCCAGGCCCG